CUUUUCUGUAACAUCUUUAUCUUCAAAAACUUGUUCUUCUCCAACAACAAAGCAUCUUCUCCAGCGAUAUCAUGUCCACCACCAAAAACACCGACAACACCAUCGGCAACGUUAUAUUUUUCGUUGUUUCUCCACCACCGUAAACAACAACGCCGUUAUCAUCGACACCACCACCACCACCGCAACCAACAACAACACCACUAAUAUUGACAGUUUUUUCUUCAAAUGCCUUAAUUAAAUUAAGAUUUCUCAGAUUGAUUAAAAAUACAAAUAAUUUAGGCUUUCUCUUCCAUCAAAUUCGCGAGAUAAGUUUUAUCAUGUGUUAGCCACAGAAUGAAACUGGUUUCGUCUUUUAUCAUUGUCGGGUGAGUUUCAUCACGCGUUUCCAAUGGAUGAAUAAGGAUGAAACAUGGUGCUGAACGUUAUUGGUGUAUCAAGUACGCAAAAUAUGCACGAUGUGAAUCAAGAACCAAGAUUCUAACUCUGGAAUAUACUCAUGGAACCAAUGAUGGCUAAUAGUGACGUAGCAAUUUUGAGAAAGAACAUGACCACCAAACGAGUAGACAUCGUAUAUGAAAUACUUGGUGAUGAGUGCAGUUGUUGAAAGUUGAACGAGAACUAAGCGCAUCGUUCAAUAGGUCGCUAUAAAAAGUUGUAUUAUAAGUUCAAUUUUUACUUUGUCAAAAUCGAUCUCUACAUAUAUUUAUGAAUUUAGAUUCGCCUGUGAAUGUAUAUAUCUUAAUGGAAGGUCA
Molecule: long non-coding RNA, 752 nt
Organism: Papaver somniferum (opium poppy)
Lineage: Eukaryota; Viridiplantae; Streptophyta; Magnoliopsida; Ranunculales; Papaveraceae
Exons: 3
Source: RefSeq, a predicted model, not a curated record